Molecule: ribosomal RNA, 427 nt
Filed under: uncultured prokaryote
Description: bacterial SSU rRNA
Rfam family: Bacterial small subunit ribosomal RNA
Source: RNAcentral
UGGGGAAUAUUGGACAAUGGGGGAAACCCUGAUCCAGCCAUGCCGCGUGUGUGAAGAAGGUCUUAGGAUUGUAAAGCACUUUAAGUUGGGAGGAAGAGCAGUUAACUAAUAUUUGACUGUUUUGACGUUACCGACAGAAUAAGCACCGGCUAACUUCGUGCCAGCAGCCGCGGUAAUACGAAGGGUGCAAGCGUUAAUCGGAAUUACUGGGCGUAAAGCGCGCGUAGGUGGUUCGUUAAGUUAGGAGUGAAAGCCCCGGGCUCAACCUGGGAAUUGCUUCUAAAACUGGCGAGCUAGAGUAUGGUAGAGGGUGGUGGAAUUUCCUGUGUAGCGGUGAAAUGCGUAGAUAUAGGAAGGAACAUCAGUGGCGAAGGCGACCACCUGGACUGAUACUGACACUGAGGUGCGAAAGCGUGGGGAGCAAACA